GCUGCCUGCGGGCCGGCGGCUGGCCGGGAGCUCGGCGUGGCCCGUGCCGGUCGGGGGAUCCCGUCGCAGGUGGGCAGGGACGGAGUGAGCCGCACCACUGCCGGCCCGACGCCCAUCCCCAGAGCUCCGCGCCCCUGGAGGCCUCCUCCUCCCUCUCCGGGCCGGGUUGGGGUCCUCCUGGAAGUCCUGCCCCGCUCCCUUCUCCAAAUCCGCAGGGCCCUGGCUCUAGGGAGACAGCGAGGCUCGUACAGAAUAUGUGCAAAUGGUUUCUACAAGCAGAGUCGAAAGACACCCGUUUGCUGUAGGGUCCUUUUGGUGAGGGCGCGCGGGAAGCCGGGGUGCUCUCCCCGCGGAGGCGCGGCCGGGCCCGGGGCCUGCGAGCUGGGAGAGGGCAGGCGCCUUCCUCGCGCCCCGGGACCCUCGCCGCCUCCUCUCCCCGCCUCUGCAGACGCAGCCGGGCGCCUUCCUCCCGGAGGGCGGCUCGCGCACCCAGGCUCCGCGUCUGGUCCCAACAGAAAUGAAUGAAGACGCUGUUCCGGUUAACUCCAGGUCACGAGAACAGUGAGGCACUUCUGAAACGAACCCAUUAGGAACAUUGAAACAAAUAAAAAAAAGCCCGCAUCUGGCAGCGCCCACUACAGGCUGCUGACGUAGACCCUGCUGUCCUGGAGCUCCUCCUCACUCGGUCGACCCCGCGCGCGCACACAGCCCGCGUCCUCUUCGCCCCCGGCUCGGUCCUGCCCCGCGUCCCUGCAGUUCACAAAGGAGAAACCAUUCUCCCUGGUGAAACUGCUGAGACAGGCCCACUGCCCAUUGCCUGCUGCUGCCUUUCCAGGGGUGAGGUAUCUGUGCAAACACGGCGCAUGCCCCUGCCUUGCUUCUGCUGGGAAGGGCCAGCAGGUGACCCUUAAGCUUCUCUGUCCUCCCUACCGGCUGCUUAGUGCCUGGCUAUGGGAAAAUCGGCUCCUGAGCCAGCGGGUCGGGGGAAGCUGAGUGCAGCCUGGCACUCGCUCCUUUCAGGCAUCUGUUUGUCUUGCUCCUUGCCCACGCCACUCAUUCUCUCCUUGCCCUGCUUAGUUUUUCUUUGGCACUCCUGACCUUCCUGAUGUGUUAUAUAUGUAUGUGUUUAUUAUCUGUCUCUCCUCACCAUGAUGUGAGCUCAUGAGAGCAGAAGCUCUGUUUCUCAGCUGUGUCCCUGUACCUAGAACAGGGCCUGCACAUGGUAGGCGCUCAGGGAAGGUCUGUGAAAUGAAUGCAGGAUGAUCGAGGCCACAGGAAUACCAGACUUUGAGAGGUAAACCUUGGAAGCCACCUGGUUUAACGCCCCACCUCCUGCACCACAGCCUGACGCCCGGAUGAGCACAGUCUCUGCUUGGCUAUGUCUGAUGAUGGGGGGCUCACUACCUUUCAGGCAAGCCCCUCUCAUCUUGGAAGAGCUCAUUUGGGAAGGUCUUCCCCAUGUGAGCUGAAAUCUGUCCGCUGGUGGGCUGAGCCUGCCACCCUUUCCCCAUCCCACCCGUUGCAGGUGUGAGAGGUGUAUCGCACCCUCCAAAGUCACCUCCUCUCCAGGUUUUCUUCCCGAAUUCCCUGAAACGGUUCUCCUAGGAAAUGGUUUCUAGGAACCUUGCCAUCCUGGUCAUCCUCUGUUGGGUUUGUUCCAGUGUGUCAAAGGUCCCUAAUAAUGUGGUGCCGGGAUUGCACUAGAUGCUCUGACCAGGCAGAGCACAGUGGGACUGAAAGCUCGCUUGUUCUAGGCUAGUGGCUCUCAACCUUGCUACACGUUAAAAUCAUCGAAGAGCUUUAACAAUCAUCAGUUAAUCUGUCCCGGGUUUCCAAAGCUCCCCAGGUGAUGCUCACGGGCAGUCAGGCCUGAGCACCUUGGAUCUUGCCUGUCUGUGUAUAAAGGCAGCCAGGCUCACAUUUGCAUGUCGAGCAGCUGCAGUAUAAGGGAUAAGUUGCUCAGUGGUUUCUGCCGCCCUCUGCAGUGGGCCCAGCCUCAAGAGAGCCCAUAGCAUCUUGUGCAGUCAUGGCUUUCCGCACACGAGCCCUCCUGCAGCCCUGAGAGGGAGGGUCUUUCGGGCUCAGAUAUUGACUGCAAUGAAUUUGGCAAGAGCCAGGUGCUCCCUUCUCAGCCCCGCAUGCCAAGUCCCCUUGUUGCCCGUGGCCUCUCCCCCCUGCCCAUCUGCGAGUCACCUACCGCUUCCACCAGGCUGCUGGCACUGCCGUGGAACUGCCUCCCUGGGGCCCCAGCCUGGCUGGGCACCAUGAGGGAGACGGGCCGGACUCUCCGGGCGGCGCUGCUGCCCCCGCCACCGGGGGUGGUCUCAGCCCAGGAGCCGCAGUGGAUGGAUGGGAAGCUGCUGUUGAGUUUCUCACUGGACUCGACCCCCUCAAGCCGCAGGGUGGGGACGGGCUGUGGGGGCCAGCCUCGGCUGCCAGGUGUGGCUGGUGGGGUGGCAAAAGGCCUAGGGAAUGAGGCAGGGGAAUGGCUUCUCUGGAGGAGGGGGCUCAGGCCUGCCACUGCCAAUGCCUGCGGACACACAAGGAGUGUGAGUUAAUAGGAGUGGCCGACCCCAAACAAGGCAGGCCCCUGCUUCUGAGCAAGCACUGCUUUGCAGCUGCUGUGUCCAGCUAGCUCCACCUGCCUGGUAUUCCCAUGCCAUUAUUUUCCCCUGUCGGUCCUAUCUCAACCUGGCAUGACUUUCAACUAUCUCAAAAUACAUCUUAGGAUCAUCUGGGUCUGAAGUGAUCUCUUUCUCCUGUAACUUCUGAAAGCUGGGAUUGGGUGAAGUCGUGGUAACCUGCUUUUAGCCCUGGCCUGGUCACCUGUCAGCUGUGCAUUCUCUCGCUCUUGGUUUUGUCCUCAAUAGAAUGGAGAGCAGGGUGAGGCCUGCAUGUCUGUAAAGCCAGAAAACGAAUGCUGUCUAUCCAUCUGCCCUGUGGGGCUGGUGUGAGGCUCAAGCGCAAUGAGGUCUGUGAAGAAGCGCUGUGCACCUCACAAAGAGUUGGGAAAACCAGUAUUUGUGGUUUUAGUUCUCACAGUUAAUGGGGCCAUUCAUAAUGCCCUGCCAGUCUCUAGCUCAGGUUGUCUUUGAGCCAUUGUUAAAUCCGGUGCUGUAUUGUGAUUAAAAGAUUCAGGGCUGGGAGCAGUGGCUCAUGCCUGUAAUCCCAGGACUUUGGGAGGCCAAGGCGGGCAGAUCACCUGAGGUCGGGAGUUCAAGACCAGCCUGACCAACACGGAGUAACCCAGUCUCUACUACAAAUGCAAAAUU
This 3272-nucleotide long non-coding RNA is filed under the name Homo sapiens (human). RNAcentral describes it as "HSALNT0366147". Lineage: Eukaryota; Metazoa; Chordata; Mammalia; Primates; Hominidae. The record is from RNAcentral.